GACCAGCAUUGUGAUUGAUGAAACAUCAUCAAGCGGCCUAUUCAACCAUUUCCUGGGAGCAUCCACAGUGCCGAUCCUUUGUGUGGAUGAGGCAUACUCUCUCCUGCAAAGACUAAAGUAUCAAGGGAAAUCAACAUCACAGACAAGCCUCUUAAUGGAACGCCUGUGUAAAUGUUAUGAAGGAGACUUUUGGUAUGCACUAAAAGGGAAAAAGGCAAGCAAGUUGGUGUAACUUCAACUAAACUAAGCCUUCUUGCUUUCACCACCCCUCAGCAAUUCCUGGAGUCAGUUUGGCCAAAAAUUGU
Molecule: long non-coding RNA, 305 nt
Organism: Pocillopora damicornis (cauliflower coral)
Lineage: Eukaryota; Metazoa; Cnidaria; Anthozoa; Scleractinia; Pocilloporidae
Source: RefSeq, a predicted model, not a curated record